Molecule: long non-coding RNA, 1037 nt
Filed under: Oreochromis niloticus (Nile tilapia)
Lineage: Eukaryota; Metazoa; Chordata; Actinopteri; Cichliformes; Cichlidae
Description: lncRNA (ENSONIG00000041407.1)
Source: RNAcentral
GGGGUGCGAAUGAGUUCUAUUCCUUUUUAAUCUAAUAAGUCUGCCUGCGCUUGUUUCAACAGGCAUUUAAAAGCACUUAAUUGGACUGACAGUGUGUGAGGCGAGAGGAAGAAUUAUGAGUCGAGUUUUUGGCAUGUUGCUACGAGUCGGAAAAGGGUCGAAAAAAGGGGCUAAUUAAUUGAACAACGUAACGUGAAAGGGUUGAGAAAUGAGAUAUGAUCCCUCCCGUCAAGUGACUCGGGUGAAAACACACGUGUGUAACCGAAUUUUGAAACUACAAAACUUUAGGUUUGUCGCUGAUGAGUCCGUACCUCACGAAGCUUAAAGACAUUAGCAUUAGUGCAACUCAAGAAGACUAGACAGCCUCUCACUGACAGUCAGCGAGGAGCGCAUAUUGCGCUAAUGAGCGAAAACAGGGAUCAACACACUGGAUAACAGCCAGCGUAUGAUUAGAGUUACAUCAUUAAGCAAACUCCCAUAGGAGCCCCGAUUUUUAAAUGGUCCAUCAAAACUGAAACAUCCAGACAAUGUGAGAACGAGCUAAAAUGGUGGAAUAAGGCAAAACCAACGGUAAAUUCUACAGAGCGCUCGAGGCGGAGAUCAAAACCACAGCACCUGGGAUAUCACCGUGACAGCCCGGCAGACCAGACAGAGGUAAAGAGGGGAGGGAGCAGGAGGAGGACGAGAGAGAGGGAGAAGGUCAUCUAAGCAAAGAAGUGCAGGUGAGAAGUAAGGGGUGAGGGAGGCGAAAGGUGCAGGGAGCUGGGCAGAAGAAAGGCCCGGCAUCUUAAACAGCAGCAUAAUAUUUUUGUUUCACUCUGCACCCUCUUCUUUUAUUCAACCUUUACAGCAGAGAUCUUGUGCCUCUGUGUGUAUGUGUGUACGCACGUGUGUGGACCCUUGCUCACCAAACAUGUAACAACUAAAGAAAAAUAUUAAGUACAAAAGCAAGUAACACUUUCUUUCCUUUUAAUUGUUUUAUCCAAUUUAUGUUAUAACUAUAUGAAAUCCCCAUGAAAUCAAUAGAUAAAGCCCCA